CAGGCAGUGGCGUAGCUAUGCAGUUACUUCGACUGUUAAUCGAGUGGUUGCGGGUUCAAUUCCCGUCCGCCUGU
This 74-nucleotide transfer RNA is filed under the name compost metagenome. Its description in RNAcentral is "tRNA-Asn". It matches the Rfam family "tRNA". From Rfam's summary of the family: Transfer RNA (tRNA) molecules are approximately 80 nucleotides in length. The record is from RNAcentral.